CAGGCCCUGGGCCGCCAGCUGGUGAUGCUGCCCUGCUCACCUCAGAUAGAGGCUCAAUGCCUGAGCAACUAUCUGAAUGGCGCCCUGCAGGGUGGUGCCUGGCUGCUGUUGGAGAAAGUUCAGCAGCUGCCCCCUGGCUUGCUCUCUGCCCUGGGCCAGCGCCUGGGUGAACUGCACCAGUUGUAUGCCCCACUGUACCAGAAGGCUUCCCGAAACACUAGCACCAUAGACCCCACCCAGCCCCAGCUCCUUGGCAGUGGCUUCUUUGAAAAACAUCACGUGUCUAUGCGCCUUGGCUAUGGCUGUCUCCUGGUACUGCGUGCCCUGAGCUCUGCUGUGCCUGCCAACCUGCACCUGCUGCUGCGGCCUGUGGCAUUGGCAUUACCUGAUCUGCGGCAAGUGGCAGAGCUGACUCUGCUGGGUGCAGGGAUGCGGGAUGCCUUCCAGAUGGCUACCCGCCUAUCCAAGUUCUUCUCUCUAGAGCGUGAGCUGGUGUCUGGGCCCCUGCCCUGCCGCUUGCCACUGCUGAAGCAGAUACUGGAAGACACAAUACGGACACUAAAUGUGACCAAGGAGGAACCGAAGUGCCAGAAGCCUCGCAGCCUAGCUGCCAUUGAGGAGGCUGCCCUACUGCAUGCCCUACUGCGCUCACCACUGUUUAGCAUUCUCAAUGGGCUCCACCUGCACAGCCUCCGAGGGCUGUUGUGUGCACUUUUCCCUAGCGCCAGCCAAGUGCUGGCAGAACCUAUGACUUACAAGCUGAUGAAGCCACUGGUGGUGGAGGAACUGCAACAGGUAGGUCUGCAUCCCAGCCCUGACAUUUUGGGGUCCUUGGAACAGUUGAGCCAGGCCCUGAGCCGGGCCUCAGGCAUUCUGCUCCUGGGCCCUGCAGGCAGCGGCAAGACCACUUGUUGGCACAGCUUAUUUAAGAUCCAGAAUCGGCUGGCAGCCAUGGAGGACACCUCAACCCAAGGCUGCCAGCCUGUGGAAAUUACCCACCUGUACCCCAGUGGCCUCAGCCCCCAGGAGUUCCUGGGAUGGCUAGAGGGCUCCUGCUGGCAUCAUGGCAUCUUUCCCAAGGUACUUCGUGCAGCCGGUCAGUGUAACAACAUGGGCCAAAAGAGGCAGACAGAGGAAUCAGUCGGGAUCCAGCACUGGAUAAUAUGUGAUGGAGCUUCCAGUGCUGCUUGGCUGGACUCCAUCACUUGCCUCCUGAGUGAGCUUCCCCAGCUUAGUCUCCCCAGUGGACAGCAGAUAGCACGACCCCCAGGCACCUUUCUCUUGAUGGAGGUGGCUGACACAACAGGCAUGUCCCCCACAGUGGUAGGCUGUUGUGCCUUAGUCUGGUGUGGUGGAGAGCAGACUUGGCAGUGUAUACUUAGUGCCCUGAUGGCAUCCCUUCCUUAUGAGUACCGCCUGCAGCACCAGACAGUCGCUGAGCUCAACCACAUGGCUGAGGUUCUGGUGCCUGCAACAUUGCGAUUCCUCACCCGCCAAGGUGUCAGCUCUCUGCUGCAGGUACACGGGCAGCAGGCUGUUUGUGCAGGUGUGGCAGAAGUUACCAGCAUGGCACGCAUCUUACAUAGUCUGCUUGACCCCCACCUUCGCCUAAAGGAGGAGAAGGCCCCUGGCCCAGAGGACCUCAGCUAUAGUGAUCCUGUGGCCCAAAGCUUCAGGUCUUCAAAAAGCAGCUUUCUAAACCGGUCCCAGGUUGACAGUGACGAUGUGCCAAAUAAGUGCAGGGAACACUUGCUGGCUGUCAGCAGUUUUCUUUUUGCCUUGAUCUGGGGCUUUGGAGCCCACCUUCCCUCCAGGUACCUACCAGGAUGGGGGAUGGGAGAUGCAGAGGGCUGAGAUGGACUGGCCCAUGGAAGUAAAAACCCCCAUGACAUCACUCUUAGGGUAUGGUGGAGUGUGUGAGUGUGUCAUAAAUGGAAGUGUUGUAACUGUCUGACGCUUUUGCCUGUGUGUCCAUCUGAGCAGGUUCUGGCCCAUCUUUGAUACCUUCAUAAGGGAUUCUAUUAGUCGCCUCUCCAACUACCCUGAGCCACCACCCUCAGCCUUGGUGUUUGAUCUACAUGUAAGCCCUGAAGAUGGAACACUGGUCCCCUUCACUGGCCAAUACCUGAGCAGCCACAUCAAAGGAACUCUGGGCACCUUUCAUCCUUCUAUCCAGACUGAACGGCUCUUGUAUGUGGUGGACCUGCUUCUGUCAGGGGGACAGCCAGUGUUGCUGGCUGGAGAGGCAGCAACAGGGAAGUCAGCCUUUGUGGAGGUGCUGGUAGAGCCACAUCACCCUUACAUAUACAGCCCCAUCCACCCUGCCUUCAGUUCUACCCACCUCCGUCUCCUGCUGAGCAGAGGAAUCCAGGGCCAAACACAAGCCAGCCCACAGCCUGGGCAUCACCAGGAUUCUAAAGCCUCCCUCCUCUUCUUGCUGGAGGAUCUGCACCUAGCCACUUCUGGUGAGGAGCUGGGAAGAGGGAAGGAAGGAGCUACUGUCAUCUCUUGAGACUAUAAAAUCCCUAGCAAUAUUCAUUGACUCUCAGAUAUAUGUCUAUAGAUCUAA
Molecule: small RNA, 2569 nt
Filed under: Pongo abelii (Sumatran orangutan)
Lineage: Eukaryota; Metazoa; Chordata; Mammalia; Primates; Hominidae
Description: retained intron
Source: RNAcentral